GAUGAACGCUAGCGGCAGGCUUAAUACAUGCAAGUCAAGGGGUGCAAUACAACCGGCGCACGGGUGGAGUAACGCGUACACAACAUACCAUAUACUGGAGUAUAGCUUUGGGUAAACUAGAAGGUAAUCCUCCAUAACAUUGCGAGAGGGCAUCUGAUUGCAAUUAAAAGUUUCGGCGGUAUAUGAUUGGUGUGCGUUUGAUUAGCUAGUUGGUAGGGUAACGGCCUACCAAGGCGACGAUCAAUAGCUGGCGUGAGAGCGCGACCAGCCACACUGGAACUGAGACACGGUCCAGACUCCUACGGGAGGCAGCAGUAGGGAAUAUUGGACAAUGGAGGAAACUCUGAUCCAGCCAUGCCGCGUGAUAGAUGAAGGCCCUCCUGGG
Molecule: ribosomal RNA, 385 nt
Filed under: uncultured bacterium
Lineage: Bacteria
Description: bacterial SSU rRNA
Rfam family: Bacterial small subunit ribosomal RNA
Source: RNAcentral